Molecule: ribosomal RNA, 1062 nt
Filed under: unidentified rumen bacterium 30-19
Lineage: Bacteria; Pseudomonadati; Bacteroidota; Bacteroidia; Bacteroidales; Bacteroidaceae
Description: bacterial SSU rRNA
Rfam family: Bacterial small subunit ribosomal RNA
Source: RNAcentral
AGAGUUUGAUCCUGGCUCAGGAUGAACGCUAGCUACAGGCUUAACACAUGCAAGUCGAGGGGCAGCAUGGUCUUAGCUUGCUAAGACUGAUGGCGACCGGCGCACGGGUGAGUAACGCGUAUCCAACCUUCCCCAUAGUAGGGGAUAGCCCGGCGAAAGUCGGAUUAAUACCCUAUGUUCUUCGUCGAGGACAUCUGAAGUGAAGCAAAGGUUUACCGCUAUGGGAUGGGGAUGCGUCUGAUUAGGUUGCAGGCGGGGUAACGGCCCACCUGGCCUACGAUCAGUAGGGGUUCUGAGAGGAAGGUCCCCCACAUUGGAACUGAGACACGGUCCAAACUCCUACGGGAGGCAGCAGUGAGGAAUAUUGGUCAAUGGACGAGAGUCUGAACCAGCCAAGUAGCGUGCAGGACGACGGCCCUAUGGGUUGUAAACUGCUUUUAUGCGGGGAUAAAGUGAGGGACGUGUCCCUUUUUGUAGGUACCGCAUGAAUAAGGACCGGCUAAUUCCGUGCCAGCAGCCGCGGUAAUACGGAAGGUCCGGGCGUUAUCCGGAUUUAUUGGGUUUAAAGGGAGCGCAGGCGGCCUUUUAAGCGUGACGUGAAAUGCAGGUGCUCAACAUCUGAGCUGCGUCGCGAACUGGAGGGCUUGAGUGAGUUCGAUGUCAGCGGAAUUCGUGGUGUAGCGGUGAAAUGCUUAGAUAUCACGAAGAACCCCGAUUGCGAAGGCAGCUGGCAAGGCCUUUACUGACGCUAAAGCUCGAAGGUGCGGGUAUCGAACAGGAUUAGAUACCCUGGUAGUCCGCACGGUAAACGAUGGAUGCCCGCUGUUUGCGAUAUACUGUGAGCGGCCAAGAGAAAUCGUUAAGCAUCCCACCUGGGGAGUACGCCGGCAACGGUGAAACUCAAAGGAAUUGACGGGGGCCCGCACAAGCGGAGGAACAUGUGGUUUAAUUCGAUGAUACGCGAGGAACCUUACCCGGGCUUGAACUGCAGCGGAAGGAUACAGAGAUGUUGACCNUCGGGGCCGCUGUGGAGGUGCUGCAUGGUUGUCGUCAGCUCGUGCC